RNAcentral lists this ribosomal RNA (198 nucleotides) under uncultured bacterium. RNAcentral's name for it is "partial 16S ribosomal RNA". It matches the Rfam family "Bacterial small subunit ribosomal RNA", at positions 326 to 539 of the family's 1533-position model. The record is from RNAcentral.
ACGCUCGACACCUACGGAAGGCAGCAGUGGGGAAUAUUGCACAAUGGGGGAAACCCUGAUGCAGCGACGCCGCGUGAGCGAAGAAGUAUUUCGGUAUGUAAAGCUCUAUCAGCAGGGAAGAAACUGACGGUACCUGACUAAGAAGCACCGGCUAAAUACGUGCCAGCAGCCGCGGUAAUCUGAGCGGGCUGGCAAGGC